GAGAACUAUAUUGCUGUAAGAGAGACACGGUCCUGACUCUCCUGCAGUGAGAGUCUAGUGGUGGAGACAGGCACUAGAUAAGGAGACACCCAAAUCAAGGAGGAGAAUACGUUGUCUUUUAAAGACACUUAAAUGUUUACAGGAUCUCUGAGUUGACUGAAUGAACUGAAGGGGCAGGAGUAAAAGCAGG
Long non-coding RNA from Galeopterus variegatus (Sunda flying lemur), 190 nucleotides. RefSeq lists it as uncharacterized. The record is from RefSeq and is a predicted model, not a curated record. Lineage: Eukaryota; Metazoa; Chordata; Mammalia; Dermoptera; Cynocephalidae. The transcript has 3 exons.